AAAGAGAAUAAUAUGAUAACACUGUUAUAAGUUCUACCUCUGCAGCCGUAUGUUUUAACAAAUCAUUUAUACGAGUACGAGUGAUUAAACUCUACCAUACGAUUACAGCGAUCUUGUCAGUUUCCAUAACAGUACUUAAGUAGUGUGCAAUCGUCAAUACUGUAGUGCAGCGGUUCCCUGUAAACUUUUUAGUUGUGCGGACCACCAAUUUUGUAAAAACAAAUUUGAGACCUCUGGCCCACUAAACUAAUCCGCAG
Molecule: non-coding RNA, 257 nt
Organism: Cinara cedri
Lineage: Eukaryota; Metazoa; Arthropoda; Insecta; Hemiptera; Aphididae
Source: the annotation of a GenBank genome assembly